This 377-nucleotide ribosomal RNA is filed under the name Lachancea kluyveri. RNAcentral's name for it is "eukaryotic LSU rRNA". It matches the Rfam family "Eukaryotic large subunit ribosomal RNA", at positions 2971 to 3344 of the family's 3401-position model. The record is from RNAcentral. Lineage: Eukaryota; Fungi; Ascomycota; Saccharomycetes; Saccharomycetales; Saccharomycetaceae.
UCGUGAGACAGGUUAGUUUUACCCUACUGAUGAAUGUUAUCGCAAUAGUAAUUGAACUUAGUACGAGAGGAACAGUUCAUUCGGAUAAUUGGUUUUUGCGGCUGUCUGAUCAGGCAUUGCCGCGAAGCUACCAUCCGCUGGAUUAUGGCUGAACGCCUCUAAGUCAGAAUCCAUGCUAGAAAGCGAUGAUUUCUUUCCCUUACACAAUAUAGAUGGAUACGAAUAAGGCGCUUUUAGCGUCGCUGAACCAUAGCAGGCUGGCAUUGGUGCUCUUAGCGGAAAGGCUUUGGGUGCUUGCCGGCGAAUUGCAAUGUCAUUUUGCGUGAGGAUAAAUCAUUUGUAUACGACUUAAAUGUACAACGGGGUAUUGUAAGCAG